CCUACGGGUGGCUGCAGUGGGGAAUAUUGGGCAAUGGGCGCAAGCCUGACCCAGCAACGCCGCGUGAAGGAAGAAGGCUUUCGGGUUGUAAACUUCUUUUGACAGGGAAGAGCAGAAGACGGUACCUGUCGAAUAAGCCACGGCUAACUACGUGCCAGCAGCCGCGGUAAUACGUAGGUGGCAAGCGUUGUCCGGAUUUACUGGGUGUAAAGGGCGUGUAGCCGGGCUGACAAGUCAGAUGUGAAAUCCGGGGGCUCAACCCCCGAACUGCAUUUGAAACUGUUGGUCUUGAGUAUCGGAGAGGCAGGCGGAAUUCCUAGUGUAGCGGUGAAAUGCGUAGAUAUUAGGAGGAACACCAGUGGCGAAGGCGGCCUGCUGGACUGCAACUGACACUGAUGCUCGAAAGUGUGGGUAUCAAACAGGAUUAGAUACCCGUGUAGUC
Molecule: ribosomal RNA, 442 nt
Filed under: uncultured bacterium
Lineage: Bacteria
Description: partial 16S ribosomal RNA
Rfam family: Bacterial small subunit ribosomal RNA
Source: RNAcentral